This 465-nucleotide ribosomal RNA is filed under the name uncultured Sporolactobacillus sp. RNAcentral describes it as "bacterial SSU rRNA". It matches the Rfam family "Bacterial small subunit ribosomal RNA", at positions 338 to 795 of the family's 1533-position model. Lineage: Bacteria; Bacillati; Bacillota; Bacilli; Caryophanales; Sporolactobacillaceae. The record is from RNAcentral.
CCUACGGGGGGCUGCAGUAGGGAAUCUUCCACAAUGGACGAAAGUCUGAUGGAGCAACGCCGCGUGAGCGAAGAAGGUUUUCGGAUCGUAAAGCUCUGUUGCCGGAGAAGAACGAGCGGGAGAGGAAAUGCUCUUGCUGUGACGAUAUCCGGCCAGAAAGCCACGGCUAACUACGUGCCAGCAGCCGCGGUAAUACGUAGGUGGCAAGCGUUGUCCGGAAUUAUUGGGCGUAAAGCGCGCGCAGGCGGCUUCUUAAGUCUGAUGUGAAAUCUUGCGGCUCAACCGCAAGCGGCCAUUGGAAACUGGGAAGCUUGAGUACAGAAGAGGAGAGUAGAAUUCCACGUGUAGCGGUGAAAUGCGUAGAGAUGUGGAGGAAUACCGGUGGCGAAGGCGGCUCUCUGGUCUGUUACUGACGCUGAGGUGCGAAAGCGUGGGGAGCAAACAGGAUUAGAUACCCGAGUAGUC